AUGGAUGAAUCUUCCCUUCAAAUCCUACGCAGUGAAGUUUCUAUUUAACUUCCUAGUGAGUUUUCUUGGAGCUCUAGGGAGUACUAUGCUACAGGCAUAUGGCCGUCUAGAAUUAAAAACGGCACCAGUUCAUGCUCCUGCUGAGUGGUAUCUGGAAAAUGUCUUGCCCACAAUGCAUAGUUAUGGAAUUGCUGCUAUUUCCCCGUUCUCCCAUCGUUUCUUUCGACAAAAUGCCUGAAAGCAUCCAGCGCCUACGUUGUAAAGUGAACUUUCAAGCUUUAGCCUUUGUUCCUCAUAUUAGGGAAGUGGGAGAAACCCUUGAUAAUCGUCUCCACAGCCCUCCUCUAAGACACCAAAAUACAGACUCACAAGAGGGAACAUAUGACCUUGAUAAACAGGGAGCUGAAAUUGAUUGCUUAUAUUCUCUUUCCCUGCACAUACUCAUAGAGAAUAUGGCUGCUCAUUCUGCCUGUUAUUUUGGUUGUAAAGCUGAGAACUUGCUCUUGCAUAAUAUCACCAAGUAAUUUGGCCGGGAAGGAUCCUAAAAUCUCAGCUCACAGAUGAGGAACUCAGAAUUCAGGGGCGUUGCCCGUUGAGGCUUGAAGAAAUUGUAUUGUUGCUAGCAGCUCUUGUCUUCAACAAUAGCACACGGCUUUAUCUUGCGUCCCACAAGGUUUAUGGCGGAGAAGCAAGGAUCACAACUCGCAGAAGAUUAUUUCCACUAAUGGAGGAUAAGAAGAGCCUUACUUCAGCCGAGCAAAGGGCCAAGGUUGAAGGCAAGGCUUCUCUGUCAGCUGCAGUUGACUAUUAUGUGAGCAUGCAAAGUGAUAUCUUCAUUUCUGCUUCUCCGGGAAACAUGCACAAUGCACUGUAUAAACUUCGAGGUAUUAUAAAGUUGUUUAGGCCAGGUGGCCUUUUGGAUUAG
Fragaria vesca subsp. vesca is the source of this 925-nucleotide RNA transcript. RefSeq lists it as uncharacterized. The transcript has 5 exons. The record is from RefSeq and is a predicted model, not a curated record. Lineage: Eukaryota; Viridiplantae; Streptophyta; Magnoliopsida; Rosales; Rosaceae.